RNAcentral lists this ribosomal RNA (547 nucleotides) under Bacillus tequilensis. Its description in RNAcentral is "bacterial SSU rRNA". It matches the Rfam family "Bacterial small subunit ribosomal RNA", at positions 108 to 640 of the family's 1533-position model. The record is from RNAcentral. Lineage: Bacteria; Bacillati; Bacillota; Bacilli; Caryophanales; Bacillaceae.
GAGUAACACGUGGGUAACCUGCCUGUAAGACUGGGAUAACUCCGGGAAACCGGGGCUAAUACCGGAUGCUUGUUUGAACCGCAUGGUUCAAACAUAAAAGGUGGCUUCGGCUACCACUUACAGAUGGACCCGCGGCGCAUUAGCUAGUUGGUGAGGUAAUGGCUCACCAAGGCAACGAUGCGUAGCCGACCUGAGAGGGUGAUCGGCCACACUGGGACUGAGACACGGCCCAGACUCCUACGGGAGGCAGCAGUAGGGAAUCUUCCGCAAUGGACGAAAGUCUGACGGAGCAACGCCGCGUGAGUGAUGAAGGUUUUCGGAUCGUAAAGCUCUGUUGUUAGGGAAGAACAAGUACCGUUCGAAUAGGGCGGUACCUUGACGGUACCUAACCAGAAAGCCACGGCUAACUACGUGCCAGCAGCCGCGGUAAUACGUAGGUGGCAAGCGUUGUCCGGAAUUAUUGGGCGUAAAGGGCUCGCAGGCGGUUUCUUAAGUCUGAUGUGAAAGCCCCCGGCUCAACCGGGGAGGGUCAUUGGAAACUGGGGAA